This 208-nucleotide unclassified non-coding RNA is filed under the name Hevea brasiliensis (rubber tree). Lineage: Eukaryota; Viridiplantae; Streptophyta; Magnoliopsida; Malpighiales; Euphorbiaceae. The record is from RNAcentral.
GUUUGUAGUGUGUAAUAAAUCAGUAAAUUGUAGAUAUGGUCCAAGAAUAAGCUUUCCAUUUUAUAUUGAAGAUGUUCAAGAAUCUUACUGUGGGUACCCUGGAUUUGGGCUAAAUUGUAGUGAACAAGGGUUUCCUGUUGUACAUAUUGCUGGAAAUGAGUAUGUAGUUGAAGAUAUUAGAUAUCAAGAUCAUACUUUUCAGCUUAAA